This 464-nucleotide ribosomal RNA is filed under the name uncultured bacterium. RNAcentral's name for it is "partial 16S ribosomal RNA". It matches the Rfam family "Bacterial small subunit ribosomal RNA", at positions 28 to 507 of the family's 1533-position model. The record is from RNAcentral.
GACGAACGCUGGCGGCGUGCUUAACACAUGCAAGUCGAACGGAAAGGCCCCUUUGGGGGUACUCGAGUGGCGAACGGGUGAGUAACACGUGAGUAACCUGCCCUUGACUCCGGGAUAACUUCAGGAAACUGGGGCUAAUACCGGAUAGGAAUCCUUGCUGCAUGGUGGGGGUUGGAAAGCUUCGGCGGUUUUGGAUGGACUCGCGGCUUAUCAGCUUGUUGGUGGGGUAGUGGCUUACCAAGGCUUUGACGGGUAGCCGGCCUGAGAGGGCGACCGGCCACAUUGGGACUGAGAUACGGCCCAGACUCCUACGGGAGGCAGCAGUGGGGAAUAUUGCACAAUGGGCGGAAGCCUGAUGCAGCAACGCCGCGUGCGGGAUGACGGCCUUCGGGUUGUAAACCGCUUUCAGCAGGGGCGAAGCUUUUGUGACGGUACCUGCAGAAGAAGCACCGGCUAACUACGUG